This 116-nucleotide ribosomal RNA is filed under the name Cohnella sp. CFH 77786. RNAcentral describes it as "partial 16S ribosomal RNA". It matches the Rfam family "Bacterial small subunit ribosomal RNA", at positions 1 to 109 of the family's 1533-position model. Lineage: Bacteria; Bacillati; Bacillota; Bacilli; Caryophanales; Paenibacillaceae. The record is from RNAcentral.
UUUAUGGAGAGUUUGAUCCUGGCUCAGGACGAACGCUGGCGGCGUGCCUAAUACAUGCAAGUCGAGCGGAGUUGUGAGAGAGCUUGCUCUCGAGCAGCUUAGCGGCGGACGGGUGA